GACGAAUGCUGGCGGCGUGCCUAAUACAUGCAAGUUGAGCGAUGAAGAUUGGUGCUUGCACCAAUUUGAAGAGCAGCGAACGGGUGAGUAACGCGUGGGGAAUCUGCCUUUGAGCGGGGGACAACAUUUGGAAACGAAUGCUAAUACCGCAUAACAACUUUAAACAUAAGUUUUAAGUUUGAAAGAUGCAAUUGCAUCACUCAAAGAUGAUCCCGCGUUGUAUUAGCUAGUUGGUGAGGUAAAGGCUCACCAAGGCGAUGAUACAUAGCCGACCUGAGAGGGUGAUCGACCACAUUGGGACUGAGACACGGCCCAAAGUCCUACGGGAGGCAGCAGUAGGGAAUCUUCGGCAAUGGACGAAAGUCUGACCGAGCAACGCCGCGUGAGUGAAGAAGGUUUUCGGAUCGUAAAACUCUGUUGGUAGAGAAGAACGUUGGUGAGAGUGGAAAGCUCAUCAAGUGACGGUAACUACCCAGAAAGGGACGGCUAACUACGUGCCAGCCGCCGCAGUAA
RNAcentral lists this ribosomal RNA (513 nucleotides) under uncultured bacterium. Its description in RNAcentral is "partial 16S ribosomal RNA". It matches the Rfam family "Bacterial small subunit ribosomal RNA", at positions 28 to 523 of the family's 1533-position model. The record is from RNAcentral.